GCUACGCAUGCAAGUCGAGCGGAGAUGGUAGCUGAAGGUGAUGAGCUGGAAGCUAUCAUCUUAGCGGCGGACGGGUGAGUAACACGUGAGCAACCUACCCUCAGCACGGGGAUAACAGCUCGAAAGGGCUGCUAAUACCCGAUGGGACCACGGCAUCGCAUGGUGCUGUGGUGAAAGGGUAGCCGGAGAGGCUAUACCGGCUGGGGAUGGGCUCGCGGCCCAUCAGCUAGUUGGUGGGGUAACGGCCUACCAAGGCGACGACGGGUAGCCGGCCUGAGAGGGUGUACGGCCACAGUGGGACUGAGACACGGCCCACACUCCUACGGGAGGCAGCAGCGGGGAAUCUUGCGCAAUGGGCGAAAGCCUGACGCAGCGACGCCGCGUGAGGGAAGAAGCCCUUCGGGGUGUAAACCUCUUUGGACGGGGAGAAGUGGAAGAUAGUACCCGUUUAAAAAGCCACGGCUAACUACGUGCCAGCAGCCGCGGUAAUACGUAGGUGGCGAGCGUUGUCCGGAAUUACUGGGCGUAAAGGGUGCGUAGGCGGCCUGGUAAGUUGAGCGUGAAAUUUUUGGGCUCAACCCAAAAGGAGCGCUCAAGACUGCCGGGCUUGAGUGCGGGAGAGGACGGCGGAAUUCCCGGUGUAGCGGUGAAAUGCGUAGAUAUCG
Molecule: ribosomal RNA, 665 nt
Filed under: uncultured bacterium
Lineage: Bacteria
Description: bacterial SSU rRNA
Rfam family: Bacterial small subunit ribosomal RNA
Source: RNAcentral